Small nuclear RNA from Dipodomys spectabilis (banner-tailed kangaroo rat), 106 nucleotides. NCBI's taxonomy places the organism in Eukaryota, Metazoa, Chordata, Mammalia, Rodentia, Heteromyidae. The record is from RefSeq and is a predicted model, not a curated record.
GUGCUCAAUUCGGUAGCACAUACACUAAAAUUGGAACAUUACAGAGAAGAUUGCCAUGGCCCUGCACAAGGUUGACAUGCAAAUUCGUGAAGUGUUCCAGAUGCUG